This 301-nucleotide ribosomal RNA is filed under the name uncultured bacterium. RNAcentral describes it as "partial 16S ribosomal RNA". It matches the Rfam family "Bacterial small subunit ribosomal RNA", at positions 509 to 808 of the family's 1533-position model. The record is from RNAcentral.
CAGCCGCCGCGGGAAUACGUAGGUCCCGAGCGUUGUCCGGAUUUAUUGGGCGUAAAGCGAGCGCAGGCGGUUAGAUAAGUCUGAAGUUAAAGGCUGUGGCUUAACCAUAGUACGCUUUGGAAACUGUUUAACUUGAGUGCAAGAGGGGAGAGUGGAAUUCCAUGUGUAGCGGUGAAAUGCGUAGAUAUAUGGAGGAACACCGGUGGCGAAAGCGGCUCUCUGGCUUGUAACUGACGCUGAGGCUCGAAAGCGUGGGGAGCAAACAGGAUUAGAUACCCCCGUAGUCCCUGUCUCUUAUACA